RNAcentral lists this long non-coding RNA (4121 nucleotides) under Homo sapiens (human). RNAcentral describes it as "HSALNT0205243". Lineage: Eukaryota; Metazoa; Chordata; Mammalia; Primates; Hominidae. The record is from RNAcentral.
GUAGGCAGCCUCUUUUUACUCUUUUCUCCAACCUCCCUCCCUAUUCCUCAACCUCUUUCUCCUUUCAUUCUUGGUGCCACACUUCAAUCUCUUCCUUCUCUUAAUUUCAAUUCCCUUCAUUUUCUGGUAGAGACAAAGGAGACACAUUUUAUCCGUGGACCCAAAACUCCAGCACCGGUCACGGACUGGGAAGGCAGCCUUCCCUUGGUGUUUAAUCAUUUCAGGGACGCCUCUCUGAUUAUUCACCCACGUUUCAAAGGUGUCAGACCACACAAGGAGGCCUGCCUUGGUCCUUCAGCCUUAGCGGCAAGUCCCGCUUUUCUGGGGGAGGGACAAGUACUCCAACCCCUUCUCUCUGUGUCUCUACCCCUUCUCUGAUCUUCUGGGGCAGGGGCAAGAACCCCUCAACCCCUUCUCCUUCACCGUUAGCGGCAAGUCCCGCUUUUCUAGGGGGCAAGAACCCCCAAUCCCUUAUUUCCGUGCCCCAACCCUUUCUCUGCUUUUCUGGAGGGCAAGAAAUCCCCACCCCUUCUCCGUGUCUCUACUCUUUUCUCUGGGCUUGCCUCCUUCACUAUGGGAAACCUUCCACCCUCCAUUCCUCCUCCUUCUCCCUUAGCCUGUAUUCUUAAGAACUUAAAACCUCUUCAACUCACACCUGACCUAAAAUCUAAGCAUCUUAUUUUCUUCUGCAAUGCUGCUUGACCCCAAUACAAACUCGACAGUAGUUCCAAAUAGCCAAAAAACGGCACUUUCAAUGUUUCCAUCCUACAAGAUCUAAAUAAUUCUUGUCGUAAAAUAGGCAAAUGAUCUGAGGUGCCUGACGUCCAGGCAUUCUUUUACACAUCAGUACCUUCCUAGUCUCUGUGCCCAGUGCAACUCGUCCCAAGUCUUCCUUCUUUCCCUCCCACCUGUCCCCUCAGUCCCAAUCCCAAGCGUCGCUGAGUCUUUCUAAUCUUCCUUUUCUACAGACCCAUCUGACCUCUCGCCUCCUCGCCAGGCCAAGCUAGUUCCCAAUUCUUCCUCAGCCUCCGCUCCUCCACCCUAUAAUCUUUUUAUCGCCUCCCCUCCUCACACCUGGUCUGGCUUACAGUUUCGUUCUGUGACUAGCCCUCCACCACCUGCCCAGCAAUUUACUCUUAAAAAGGUUGCUGGAGCCAAAGGCAUAGUCAAGAUUAAUGCUCCUUUUUCUUUAUCCCAAAUCAGAAGUGUUUAGGCUCUUUUUCAUCAAAUAUAAAAACCCAGCCCAGUUCAUGGCUUGUUCGGCAGCAACCCUGAGACACUUUACAGCCCUAGACCAUAAGAGGUCGAAAGGCCAUCUUAUUCUCAAUAUACAUUUUAUUACCCAAUCUGCUCCCCACAUUAAACUCCAAAAAUUGGAAUCUGGCCCUCAAACCCCACAACAGGACUUAAUUAACCUCACCUUCAAGGUGUACAAUAAUAAAAAAAAAGUUGCAAUUCCUUGCCUCCACUGAGAGACAAACCCCAGCCACAUCUCCAGCACACAAGAACUUCCAAACGCCUGAACCGCAGCAGCCAGGCAUUCCUCCAGAACCUCCUCCCCCAGGAGCUUGCUACACAUGCCGGAAAUCUGGCCACUGGGCCAAGGAAUGCCCACAGCCCGGGAUUCCUCCUAAGCCACGUCCCAUCUGUGUGGGACCCCGUUGAAAAUCGGAUUGUUCAACUCACCUGGCAGCCACUCCCAAAGCCCCUGGAACUCUGGCCCAAGGCUCUCUGACUGACUCCUUCCCAGAUCUUCUCCACUGAAUGGCUGAAGACUGAUGCUGCCCGAUCGCCUUGGAAGCCCCAUAGACCAUCACGGACGCUGAGCUUAGCAGUUAAACCCAUAAACCAUACCCAGAAUAUUUUAUCAACAAGGCAUCCUGAAUAAUUCAUACUGGAUAAUAAAAGGUAUCUCAACCUUCAAUGUCUUGCUGGAGUGCAGUGGCUAUUCACAGGUCCAAUCAUCGCACAGCCUCAAACUCCUGGGCUCAAUUUGUCCUCCUGCUUCAGUUCCCUGAGUAGUUGAGACUACAGGCACACGCCAUUUCUUGAAGUGGAAUGGGUGUGCUCUAGCAAAACAGAGACUGCGAUCUUCAACGUCUUCUGUCCUUCGGCUCCAGCAAAGUCUCCCCUCAUGUGCUGCCUCCUUCUCUGCUCUUCUUGAUUCAAUCAAGGACCCAGAUUGCUUUCUGCCUUGCCAGUCAAAAGUCCUCAACAAGUGGCCAUAUGAGCCUACCUUCCACAAAUCCACAAAUAUUAUUGAUAUAGUUUGAAUGUCCCCUCCAAAUCUCAUGUUGAGAUGUAAUCCCCAGUGUUGGAUGUGGGGCCUGGUGGGACGUGUUUUGGUCAUGGGGGCAGAUUUCUUAUAAAUGGUUUUGAAUCAUACCCUUGGUGCUGUCCUUGUGAUAGUGAGUAAGUGCUCAUGAGAUCUGGUUGUUUAAAAGGGUGUGGCGGGAGGGGAACAUCACACACUGGGGCCUGUCAGGGGGUGAGGGGGCUAUGGGAGGGAUAGCAUUAGGAGAAAUACCUAAUGUAGAUGACGGGUUGAUGGGUGCAGCAAACCACCACGGCACGUGUAUACCUAUGUAACAAACCUGCACUUUCUGCACAUGUACCCCAGAACUUAAAGUAUAAUUUUAAAAAAGUGUGUGGCAUCUUCCCCGUCACUCUCUCUUGCUCCUGCUCUAGCCAUGUGACUGCUCCUGCUUCACCAUCCAGCACAAGUAAAAACUUCCCGAGGCCUCCCCAGAAACUGAGCAGAUGCCAAUGCCAUGCUUCCUGUAUAUCCUGCAGAACCAUGACCCAAUUAAACCCCUUUUCUUCAUGAAUCACCCAGGCUCAGCUAUUUCUUCAUAGCAAUGCAAGAACGGCUUAAUACAAUCACCCCACUUUCAUUUCAUGUGUAUAUAAACACACACACACACACACACACACUGCAUCUUAUUUAACAAUGAGGCUUUUUUCAACUAUCUGUAACAAUGUACAAAAUAUGAAAAAUAUGUUUCCUAAGGUGGCAUUAAUCCCAAAAUGAUAAACUAUAGAAUAUUAAUCCCAGUAAAUUCCUUGGUGUGGAGGUGUGGAAACAGAGGGUGGGGAUGAAGCAACUUUCUUUAAAAGUUUUGGAAGUGUACAAUCACAAUAUAUAAUAGCAUAUAUCAAGAGUCCUGUAUGUUUCAUAAAUAAAUAUGUUUAAACUUGUAAAUCUAAUAUAUCCUAAAAGGACUCAUCCAUAAAUUUAUUUUUGUCAUCUAACACUACUAAGAUCCUUAUAAGAAAAAGUUACACGUGUACUCUUGCUUCAGUUAUAUAAAAUUGUUGCCUUUGACUUCAUGUGUUAUACCAUUUACUAUAUCCCGCAGCGCAUCUGAACUAAUUCACAGAGGACCUGGUUGGAGGCCUGGAGAAAAUCGGCAGUCUCACAUGUAAACUUCCAGUUUAUUGGGAUGAGCUAAAAGAGUGUAUUCUCGACAAAGUCUAGCAGGCUCAGCAAUGUGGGUUGCGUGUGGCUUCUCAGGACUCCUAGGUCCUCCUGGGCACACAUGCUUUGCUGGUGGCAAUGGCACUCCUCCUGUCCAAGGAGUUCUGCCACAUCCCCCUCCCGAGAAGGAGCUUGCCUUGCUUCUUUCAACCAUGUCACUUGGAACUCCAGCCUUUAGCAAGCCAUAGCAACUGGGAUCAAAGGAUUUAGAUAUCAGGUAAUAUUUAAGACGUAGAAGCAGAAGACAAUGCUACAAUGUAGGACAAUAAAAAUACUAUUUCAAAUGUGUCAUCUCUAUACUGGCCCCAAAAGAGGAAUGGUACGUUUAACGGAAGAGAAUUAUAUUACAAAUCAUGCUUAAAUAAUAAAAGCCAUCAUUUAAGAAAGAGUCUCCUCCAGAACUGUACUUAAAAUAAUUUAUUUGGGAUGCAAAAGUACUUUCAAUUGUCUCUAUUCAUCUUUACGGUCCUACCUUCAAGAGCUAGUUACAAAUCUCAUUCUGCAUUUUGUCAGCUACUUGAACCCAGCUCUCUCAUUUAUGAACUUGAACUUCAAUUCUAUAUUGUCAGAAUAGUGCAUUAUUACAGUGUUAGGAGUGUAUGUCUAUUUUAAUGGAAACUAUAUUUAUGAUUUCAAAUGAAAU